RNAcentral lists this ribosomal RNA (546 nucleotides) under Salmonella enterica subsp. enterica serovar Typhimurium. RNAcentral's name for it is "partial 23S ribosomal RNA". It matches the Rfam family "Bacterial large subunit ribosomal RNA", at positions 711 to 1229 of the family's 2925-position model. Lineage: Bacteria; Pseudomonadati; Pseudomonadota; Gammaproteobacteria; Enterobacterales; Enterobacteriaceae. The record is from RNAcentral.
AGACCCGAAACCCGGUGAUCUAGCCAUGGGCAGGUUGAAGGUUGGGUAACACUAACUGGAGGACCGAACCGACUAAUGUUGAAAAAUUAGCGGAUGACCUGUGGCUGGGGGUGAAAGGCCAAUCAAACCGGGAGAUAGCUGGUUCUCCCCGAAAGCUAUUUAGGUAGCGCCUCGUGAAUUCAUCUCCGGGGGUAGAGCACUGUUUCGGCUAGGGGGCCAUCCCGGCUUACCAACCCGAUGCAAACUGCGAAUACCGGAGAAUGUUAUCACGGGAGACACACGGCGGGUGCUAACGUCCGUCGUGAAGAGGGAAACAACCCAGACCGCCAGCUAAGGUCCCAAAGUCAUGGUUAAGUGGGAAACGAUGUGGGAAGGCCCAGACAGCCAGGAUGUUGGCUUAGAAGCAGCCAUCAUUUAAAGAAAGCGUAAUAGCUCACUGGUCGAGUCGGCCUGCGCGGAAGAUGUAACGGGGCUAAACCAUGCACCGAAGCUGCGGCAGCGAACGUAUCACCCAAGACAACUUUACGGAGUUGGCGAUUGACGGAG